Molecule: ribosomal RNA, 253 nt
Filed under: uncultured bacterium
Lineage: Bacteria
Description: partial 16S ribosomal RNA
Rfam family: Bacterial small subunit ribosomal RNA
Source: RNAcentral
CACGUAGGAGGCAAGCGUUAUCCGGAUUUACUGGGUGUAAAGGGCGUGUAGGUGGUUCUGUAAGUAGGGCGUGAAAGCUCCCGGCUCAACUGGGAGAGGCCGUUCUAAACUACAGAACUAGAGGAUGGUAGAGGGAGAUGGAAUUCCGCGUGUAGUGGUGAAAUGCGUAGAUAUCUGGAGGAACACCAGUGGCGAAAGCGGCCUCCUGGACCAUUCCUGACACUCAGACGCGAAAGCUAGGGUAGCAAACGGG